Molecule: ribosomal RNA, 253 nt
Filed under: uncultured bacterium
Lineage: Bacteria
Description: partial 16S ribosomal RNA
Rfam family: Bacterial small subunit ribosomal RNA
Source: RNAcentral
GACAGAGGUGCCGAGCGUUAGGCGGAAUCACUGGGCUUAAAGCGUGUGUAGGCGGAAGCGUAAGUGACUUGUGAAAUCCCACGGCUCAACCGUGGAACUGCUGGGCAUACUGCGUUUCUUGAGCCAAUCAGGGGUCGUCGGAACAAACGGUGGAGCGGUGAAAUGCGUAGAUAUCGUUUGGAACGCCAAAGGCGAAAGCAGACGACUGGGAUUGCGCUGACGCUGAGACACGAAAGCCAGGGGAGCAAACGGG